CGUGGUGCGGCCCUCUGUUGCCGUAACGUUGGGCGGGGCCCGGGGGGCGUGGCCGUGGCACCGCGCUCGGCGGAAGGAGGGCGGGAGGCGGCCCGGGGACUGUGGGCCCCUCAGCGGCGAGCGGGGAUGAAGGACCGGCUGGCCGACCUUGCGAAGUGUAAAGGAAACGAAGAUGGGGAGACGGUUGUUGUUGAAAAAGACCAUUUCAUGGAUGACUUUUUCCAACAGGUUGAGGAACUUAGAAAUAAUAUAGCAAAAAUCGCACAAAAUGUGGAAGAAGUGAAGAAGCAGCACAGCAUUAUCCUGUCAGCACCAAACCCUGAAGGAAGAACAAAGGAAGAACUUGAAGAAUUAAAUGAGGAAAUCAAGAAGAUUGCUAAUAAAGUCCGAGCCAGGUUAAAGGCCAUUGAACAAAGUUUCGAUCAGGGUGAAAAUGCUAAUCGGGCAUCAGUGGACCUCAGGAUAAGAAAAACACAGCACUCUGUGUUAGCUCACAAGUUUGUGGAGGUCAUGACGGAAUACAACGAGACCCAAACCCUUUUUCGAGAGCGCAGCAAAGGUCGGAUACAGAGACAAUUGGAGAUAACUGGGAAGACCACCACUGACGAGGAGCUGGAAGAAAUGCUAGAGAGUGGCAAUCCUUCCAUUUUCACUUCUGAUAUUAUAUCAGACUCUCAAAUAACUAGGCAAGCUCUGAAUGAAAUUGAGUCGCGUCACAAGGAUAUUAUGAAACUGGAAUCCAGCAUACGGGAGCUGCAUGAAAUGUUUAUGGACAUGGCAAUGUUUGUGGAGACACAGGUAAAUGAACCAGUUCAAACACGUUUACGUAAGUGGGGCUUUUUUCCUUUUCCGGUCUUCCUCUUUGAAAUACUCAGGAACAAUUGCUUAUAUUCAGAAAAUACAGAUUUAGUUGUUCUGACUGUGAUUAGAACAUAUGAAAGUUAAUCAAUCACUAAAGGUUUUUUGCUUUGCUUUAGACAAAUGUAUCAUCUAGAUACACUCGCAUGUGCUAUGAAUAACUAAGCAUAGACUCACUUUCCAGUUGGCACACUUUAUAUGCUCUUCAGCAUCCCUGUAUUGCAAUAUGCUUGAACGUUCUGUGCGCGUGUAAGUAAGAACAACUCCCUCCUGCCCUGUGGGCCAAUGUCUUGGAAGUAGGGAUUCUCCCAGACGGGGAAGGGAAUGCUGGGGUAAAACUGAAUGUGUGUUACCGAGGGUGUGUGCAACCUGCACGUGGUACAGAGCUGUGAUCACUGUUAGAACAACGUGAACGUAAAGGGAUUGACAAGCCGUUCAGUAUUCAUAAGCUUUGUCUUGACAUGGAUGUAAAGUCAGUCUGUUUGUAGUCAUUACAUACUAGUUAUCUAACAAAUAUCUUUAACUUCCAUCCCUAAAACUCUUUGACUUAUGCAGGGAAGUGGAAAGUAUAAAGUUCAGGAGAGAAACUUCCCUGAAAAGGCCUAUUUUAUUAACUAGGUUUUGUUCUAGAAGUCCUUUGUUGCUUUGAUAUUAAAUACGUAGCCAAAGCAAAUUAGUAGCAGUUCUUUUUUGAAUAAGAAAUGAACAAGUUACUUGUGCAUCAUUCUUUAAUGCUUUGCUGUUUACUGCUGCUGAUUAUUUCUUCUGAUGGACAGAAACACAGGGUGAAAUGAUCAACAACAUAGAAAGGAACGUGAUGAAUGCGUCAGAUUACGUGGAACAUGCAAAAGAAGAGACGAAAAAGGCAGUGAAAUACCAAAGCAAAGCGCGAAGGAAAAUGUGGAUAAUUCUCAUAGUGUCAUUGGUGUUGAUUGCCAUAAUUGCUCUAAUUAUCGGUUUGUCUGUUGGUGUUCGGUGAUGCUUGGAUAACCCCGCAUGCAUGACUUCUGCCAGGGGGCAAAAUUGAUGUUCAUAAUUAUCUGUGUAACCGUGUUGCUUCUGAUUCUUGGCAUUAUCCUGGUGACAACCCUGGCGUAGCACAUUCCAGGAGGCGCGAGCUCAGGAAAACCAGACCUUCAGCACCAGCCCAUGCCUUAUCCUGCUCCCAGACCUUCAGCACCAGCCCAUGCCUUGCCCUGCUCCGUGCUGAUCAGCACCCCUCGCUAAUGGUUACAGAUUCAAACAAAAUCACUCGUCAUGUUUACUGAUAAACGAAGAUCAGAAUGUAUUAGGAUACGGAUGGAUUUGCAUCAUAAACUCUACCUUUGUAGGACUGAAACUUGCUCUUAAAUUGUUUUGAACUAAAGUACCGUAGGAUUUUUUUUCAUCUCAGUGUUACAAACAGUUGCAAUAGGGAGCUGAGAGUCUGAGUUUGGACUGUUGGGCUUUUUUUUCCUCUUGCUAAUAGAAUUCUAAUCACGAAUUUUAGUACCUUACCAGUGCUGCUUUUGUAGCACCCUUGUGAACGUUUUUAUGAGACGCAGCCUUGUCUUUAAGUGUAUUAAUUAUUUAGUCACCUUAACCUAUAUAAGCUUUAUACUUAAAAAUAUUUUUCUCCAACAAGUGCUAAAAUAUUUUAUCCUAAAAAGACUACUUAUUUAACUGCCUAUUGCCUUACACUUGAGAAGACAAAGAAAAGGUUUAUUACGCUCUCCAGGUUUUAUUCUGUUUUAUUUUUCAAAGUGACUAAGGUAAAUUGCUUGAAAUAUUUCCUUGCCUUAUAAUAAAAAACCAGUGGCAACAUUUCUAGUAAAAGAACGCGGUAAUGAAGCACACUGAAUCGGAAUUUGAUCAGAUAAUUUUACACGUAAUCCUUGUGCGAAGGAACCUGCUGGAUCAAUUUAGCCGUAUUGUGUGUGUGAAUAGGAGAGAAAUCACACUUUACAGAGCCAAGUCAAGAUUGCUUAUUCAGAGCUUCUGAUGUUGGUGUGUGAUAGAGCACGUAGGGACAAGCUCCCCCAGAAGAGUCUGAAACGCAAGACAAACUAAGACACUGAUUUGUUAUGGGAUUUGUGUUGUGUAACAUAGAUGAAGUGUUUUAGGAUAUCCGUACGUCUUGUGAUGCCAGUUUGCCAGGCGCGAAAGGCUUAAAUGUAACCAAAUAACUGCAUUUAAUGUUAAAGGUUAUUUUUGUAUUUUUUUUGUGUAAAAUAUUUGUAACUUGAAUUUUUGACUUCUCAUGGUUUAACGAUAUGCAUGUAGAUAUGUAGAUAUAUUUACACUCUAAGAAAACGAGAGGAAAGUAUAAUGCGUGCCUUUUUAAACACGGUCGUUUCCAAAUACUCACCUAUAAUGUAAACCGCAAUAACUUGGUCCUCAAAGUUUAGAAUUCUGAAACCGAUGUGUUGUUUCAAGUGGCUGAGAUCGAAGUCGCUCAGUUGACUUCAUGACAUUCAGCGAAGUUUACAAUGUCUGUUGUAUGCAUGAUUAUUCCUGCUUUGCUCUCCAGAUACACUGUGAAUGUGCCGGAGCUCUUCACAUCUCAAACAUAGUCAAGAAAGAAAGAAAACCUUCUUUUUGGUCUCUUUCAAGUCAAACAGGAAGAAGUCGCUUGAAAAAUUUUGGCUUCGUUAUGAACAAAUUCCUUUACCUCUAAUCCAGAGCACUCGCCGUCGUUUGUGAGGGGGUUUACAUGCAAAGCGAGGAGCGAUUGGUUCCCUUAGUGCUCGUUCUAGGUAAAAUAUAUUUUUUAUUCUAUAGUUUUUUAGAUUUUUAUCAGUAAAUAUUAUUUAUACAGACACACAAAUUAGAUUGGGGGGAAAAACCAGGUCUGCUGUUUAACAGCUGGUGACCUAAAGUGACCCCCACAAUCCCAUCAUGUUGAAUUUUGUUAUUUAUAAUGAAAUAAUUUGCCCAUCAAGACCGGAAAUUGGAACAGGCCAAUCCCUGCGUUUUACUUGUUGUUCUACAGCCGCCUCAACGAGUUUGUUUUAAAACAAAACUUGUUUUUCACGUGAACCUCUUUGUUCUGUUCAUAUUGGAGGGGAGUAAAUCUCUAACCUAUGCACUAAUAAAUUGAUCUAAGCAAGUA
This is an RNA transcript of Columba livia (rock pigeon), 3949 nucleotides long. It is a transcript of the gene named syntaxin 2, with no coding region annotated. The transcript has 11 exons. Lineage: Eukaryota; Metazoa; Chordata; Aves; Columbiformes; Columbidae. The record is from RefSeq and is a predicted model, not a curated record.